CCUACGGGAGACAGCAGUAGGGAAUCUUCGGCAAUGGGCGAAAGCCUGACCGAGCAACGCCGCGUGAAUGAAGAAGGCCUUCGGGUUGUAAAAUUCUGUUAUAAGGGAAGAAAGGUGAUAGGAGGAAAUGACUAUCAAUUGACGGUACCUUAUGAGAAAGCCACGGCUAACUACGUGCCAGCAGCCGCGGUAAUACGGAGGGUGCGAGCGUUAAUCGGAAUUACUGGGCGUAAAGCGCUCGUAGGCGGUAUGUCAAGUCAAGGGUGAAAUCCCCGCGCUCAACGUGGGAACUGCCUUUGAAACUGGCAAACUGGAGUGUGUGAGAGGAUAGUGGAAUUCCAGGUGUAGGAGUGAAAUCCGUAGAUAUCUGGAGGAACAUCAGUGGCGAAGGCGACUAUCUGGCACAUAACUGACGCUGAGGAGCGAAAGCGUGGGUAGCAAACAGGAUUAGAUACCCUGGUAGUC
This 465-nucleotide ribosomal RNA is filed under the name uncultured bacterium. Its description in RNAcentral is "partial 16S ribosomal RNA". It matches the Rfam family "Bacterial small subunit ribosomal RNA", at positions 338 to 795 of the family's 1533-position model. The record is from RNAcentral.